GAUGAACGCUGGCGGUCUGCUUAACACAUGCAAGUCGAACGCAACCUUCGGGUUGAGUGGCGGACGGGUGAGUAACGCGUGAGAAUCUGCCUUGGGGUCGGGGACAACCACUGGAAACGGUGGCUAAUACCGGAUAAGCCUUUGGGUAAAAGAUUUAUUGCCCCAAGAGGAGCUCGCGUCUGAUUAGCUAGUUGGUGAGGUAAAAGCUCACCAAGGCAGCGAUCAGUAGCUGGUCUGAGAGGACGAUCAGCCACACUGGGACUGAGACACGGCCCAGACUCCUACGGGAGGCAGCAGUGGGGAAUUUUCCGCAAUGGGCGAAAGCCUGACGGAGCAAGACCGCGUGAGGGAGGAAGGCUCUUGGGUUGUAAACCUCUUUUCUCAGGGAAGAAGCUCUGACGGUACCUGAGGAAUCAGCCUCGGCUAACUCCGUGCCAGCAGCCGCGGUAAUACGGAGGAGGCAAGCGUUAUCCGGAAUUAUUGGGCGUAAAGCGUCCGCAGGUGGCGAUUCAAGUCUGCUGUCAAAGCACGGGGCUUAACUCCGUUAAGGCAGUGGAAACUGAAUAGCUAGAGUGCCGUAGGGGUAGAGGGAAUUCCCGGUGUAGCGGUGAAAUGCGUAGAGAUCGGGAAGAACAUCGGUGGCGAAAGCGCUCUACUGGACGGCAACUGACACUCAGGGACGAAAGCUAGGGGAGCGAAUGGGAUUAGAUACCCCAGUAGUCCUAGCUGUAAACGAUGGAUACUAGGUGUAGCUUGU
RNAcentral lists this ribosomal RNA (757 nucleotides) under uncultured organism. RNAcentral describes it as "bacterial SSU rRNA". It matches the Rfam family "Bacterial small subunit ribosomal RNA", at positions 28 to 830 of the family's 1533-position model. The record is from RNAcentral.